This is a long non-coding RNA of Pogoniulus pusillus (Red-fronted tinkerbird), 269 nucleotides long. RefSeq lists it as uncharacterized. The record is from RefSeq and is a predicted model, not a curated record. The transcript is spliced from 3 exons. NCBI's taxonomy places the organism in Eukaryota, Metazoa, Chordata, Aves, Piciformes, Lybiidae.
UGCCAGGGAUGAUGGCAGUGUGCUGGUGGGUGCUGGUGUGGGAGGCUGUGCUGGGGCUGGCAGCAGGGACCACCAUGGCUCCAGCUGCUCCAGAGCCCUCUGGGCACACUGUGGUGGCUCCAGUGGUGCCCUCCGCCAUGGGGACAAGGGUUGCAGCCUCAGCACUUGCUGGCACCACUGUGACUGGUGAGGAUCAUGCCCAUCCCAGCUCAGAGGAGCCCAUCAUGAACUUCACCUUGAGGCUCCUGGAUGAGGGCCCCAGUGCCAUC